ACGAACGCUGGCGGCGUGCCUAAUACCUGCAAGUAGAACGCUGAAGGAGGAGCUUGCUUCUCUGGAUGAGUUGCGAACGGGUGAGUAACGCGUAGGUAACCUGCCUGGUAGCGGGGGAUAACUAUUGGAAACGAUAGCUAAUACCGCAUAAGAGUAGAUGUUGCAUGACAUUUGCUUAAAAGGUGCAAUUGCAUCACUACCAGAUGGACCUGCGUUGUAUUAGCUAGUUGGUGGGGUAACGGCUCACCAAGGCGACGAUACAUAGCCGACCUGAGAGGGUGAUCGGCCACACUGGGACUGAGACACGGCCCAGACUCCUACGGGAGGCAGCAGUAGGGAAUCUUCGGCAAUGGACGGAAGUCUGACCGAGCAACGCCGCGUGAGUGAAGAAGGGUUUCGGAUCGUAAAGCUCUGUUGUAAGAGAAGAACGAGUGUGAGAGUGGAAAGUUCACACUGUGACGGUAUCUUACCAGAAAGGGACGGCUAACUACGUG
Molecule: ribosomal RNA, 494 nt
Filed under: uncultured bacterium
Lineage: Bacteria
Description: partial 16S ribosomal RNA
Rfam family: Bacterial small subunit ribosomal RNA
Source: RNAcentral